This is a long non-coding RNA of Canis lupus familiaris (dog), 3647 nucleotides long. RefSeq lists it as uncharacterized. The record is from RefSeq and is a predicted model, not a curated record. The transcript is spliced from 2 exons. Lineage: Eukaryota; Metazoa; Chordata; Mammalia; Carnivora; Canidae.
GGCGGGGUCGGCAGGCGGAGGAGCAGGGCCGCGGGCGGGCCGCAUCUACCGAGGAGGCAGGCGAACGCCAAGGCGAAGGCCGGUGUCCUCACGGUUGGGUCCCACCCACUGAGGCCGCCUUGCUGGCUCCUCUCCGAGUCCCGGGCCUGCGCCCUGCGUUCCGCACUGUCCGCCAACGGGCAGGCUGGGGCCGUGGGGGCGGAAGACCCCCGGAGGCAGAGGCCUGGCUCGGCCACCCUGGUUCGGGAGCCGGGAAGUAUAUUCCUAAACCGGAAACGCUCAGGCUGCCGAGGGCGGAAAACACCACUUUCCCUUUCCCUCGCCCUUCAUCCCAGUCUGUGCCUCAUCGGGAGGCCUGAGGGUUGAACUGCCUGCCCAUCCUCCAGCAACCAUUCAUCGGCCCUGAUUCACUGCAUCUGUCGGGAUGUCAAGGUGGCGUUCUCGGCCCCAUGCACCGCCAGGACUAAGGCCAAGCAGCUUCGUUCCUGGGCCCAGGUGGUCCUCCUGACGACGCGCUGGUCACACAGCCAGGGACCUUCCUCCACUACCCGGUUCCUGCAGCCGCCUGCGUGAUCACCAGGGAUCACCGCCUGACACCUGCAGCCCGCCAGGGAAGCCCUCAUCUCUAACUUUUGCACGUGUCAGUGUUGGAAACACACCCAUCACAGCUGGCUCCAAGCUACCACCAGUUUACCUGGUUCACAAAAAUGCCCAAAAACUUAACAAUCUGGUCAUGACAUGAGCUGCCCCAGCCCACUGCUGCCUGCAGGGAACCCUAACCAGCAGGGUUUGAUAUGAUAAACUCGCUCUGCGACUAGAGAUGUGGAGCAGGCAGGGACGGAUUCAGGUUUUGCAGGACCGGAAGCUCAUACAAUUUAAGGGGCUCACUUCAAGAAAAAUAAUGAAAAAUGACAACCAUGAAGUUGAGGCCUUGGAUGGGGCCCAUAUGAGUCAGAGGUCCUUAUGUAAGGAGUGCGUGCGGUAACGAGAGUGGGCUGUUACACUGAGCAGGGGGUGUGCAGGGGGCAGCAGGGGGCAGAGCCUGGCAGGGCCCCCACCAGUCUUGGGGGCUCACUGUGAGUGACUCUGGCCUUCCCAGGGCCCAAGCUGUAGCAGCUGUUGCACUUGACAAGGCUCACGCUGCCCUGACUGUUGAGGAUGGGCAGUAGGGUGGGGUGAGUGGCAGAGGGAGAUUAAGACAAGAGGUUACAACAGUGAUCCAGGGAAGAGCUGAUGGAGGCUCAGGGGAGGGUGUGGAGCGUGCAGCCCGACUAGCAGGGUGGGCAGGCCCUCUGGCCUGGAGGAGCAGCAGGGUGCGCUGAGGGAUAAGGGACACGUGGGAGACGGCAGCAGUGGCAGCAACUGUGAAAGGCUGGGAGCAGAUGAGCAAAGGGAGGGGCUGUCGGUGGCAAGAGCCAAGGCAGACCCCAAAGACGCGGCCUGGGUAAGGCCUGGCACUGCCUUGGGCCCUGUCUGUCCCUUCGUGUCCCCUUCUGUGAUGAAGAUUUGCUGCAGCAACACAUGUCAGCAAGUGUCCACGACUGCUGACUUAGCCAUGAUGACGGCAACGAUGGAUGGGGUCCAGUGGGAGGCCUGGCAGGUGUGCCUACCAGAAGCCACCAGAAGGAGAGUGGAGGGAGGCUCUGCUGGGAGGGUGCAGGGCAGGUCCAGGGCUGCUCAUCUUCAGCACUCAUGAAGCAGGGGGCCCAGCUCCCCUGCCAGGUGUGGAAAGUGAGAAGUCGAGUUUGGGAAGAUUGCUGGCAGGACGGGACAGCCAGCCUCCCCAGGAGCAGGCCUGGAGGCCCACGCUGCUCCUGCUCUAGGGGUAAGUGACACAGAGUCCUGAGGUCUCUGAGUGCGGGGCAGCGAUUCAAGGCCCUUGGUGGACUUAAUAGGGAGGGUGAUGAGCCAUUUCGAGGUUCGCUGGGAGAGGCCAGUGGGAGUAGAGGACAACCAGGGGCCUCUCCCCACACCCUACUGGCCUAUGAGCUGGGGCUAGUGGGUUGUGCCAAGGGGUCAGGUCAGCUAGGGGCUCUUGGCAGGUUCAUGAGCUGGGUGGGGCUGGAAGCUUCUGCAGGAGGAGCCUGCCAGCAGGAAGGGAAGCUUGCAGCAGGGGGUCCUCUUGCCCCAGAUCCACAUGCUCCACAAUAUCCCUUUUGUUUUCCUGUCCCAGGCCUUCUGCCUGCAGAGCGGGCUUAGGAGUCCUGGCUGAAGGUAGGGGCUGGGCCACUCAGGGCCCGAGAUGUGUAGGUUCUGGACAUGUCCUCUCAACACACACAUCGUGAUGGGGGGGACAGCAAAGAAUGAUGAUUUGGGGCCUGGAAGGUGUGGAGUGGGACUGGGGCACCCCCCCCCAUAUAGGCCCCAGGGUGGCCAUGGCAGGGCAGCAGUGGAGCUCAGUGGGCUGUCCACUGACAUCCCUGCUCAUGCUCUACUUUGAGGACAGCCAUGGCUGUGGCGAGCCGGAGACCUGGCGGGGGGAGCACACUCACUGUUCAGGAGCUUGCAGGUUGGGGGUGCUGCUGGAAGGGGCAGCCUGGGGGCCCUCUACUGGCUGCCACCCUGGCAACCCGCUCCACCCCUGCCUGCAGGUGCAGGGAAGGUCCUGGCAGGGGAGCACAUGCUCUGCGGUGCUGACAGAGCCUCAGGUCCGCCCUGCCAUGCACCCCUGCAUGCCUGCUGCCCAAGGACUGCCCCCUGACACCACACCCCAGCACCUAGAGCAGCACAUUCAGAGCCUGCUGCGUGCCACGGGGCACCCAGAGCAGCCAUGCUAUGCCCUGGACAGUCCCCAGCAGCCUGGGUCCUGCCCCACUGCCCCAGGCCCUGACGGAGGUGGUGGUGAGAGGCAGGAUUGGGGCAGACAUGCCCAUUAGGGGAGAUGCUCUGAGCCGACUUGUACCUUCCCUCACAGAAUUCGGAGUCCCACAGACCCAGGCCCUGGCCUGGAGGGGGCUGCAGUGUCCCAGGCCUGAGCCGUGCAUGUAGUAGGGCACCUGGCCCCCCAGGACCUGCCGCUGCUACAGGAGCUGUUCCUGGGGGAUGAGCCUUCGCAGGUCUCCUGGGCACCUGGGCACGGGCGCAUCCUUCCAGCGGCGGCAGGACGGCGGGACCACGGCGCAGCCCACACCACCCUGCUGGGCACCUGCCCCUUGUGACUUCAGGGCUUCAGGAGCAGCUGGGGGGGGGGGCCAGCUUCCUGACCCGCGGGGAGGAUGGGGACAGCAGGCCCCCUCGUGUGACUGCCGCAGCUCCAUGCCUGGACCACACGCCCACGGAGGCAUAAUGAUAACGAAAAGGUACUUGCCGCUGAACCAGAGAGGAAACAAGGAACUGAACAAGUCCUACCUGUCCAGACUGUGUUGCAGGAAAGACUAUGCUGGGGCUCAAAGACUAAUGGCUCCCUUUUUAAAAUUUUAUUUUUUUGAGUACGCUCCACACCCAACAUGGGGUUUGAGCCUUUAACUCAGACCCUGAGAUCGCUGACCAAGCCAGCCAGGUACCCCAGGACUAAUGGCUCUUAGGUUUUUGUUUUUAUUUCCCUCAUUUUUUCUCUCCGUACCUCCUUGUUCCCUUCUUGCAGAUUCUAUCUCUGCAUAGUAGAUGGAUCUCCCUGACUGAGUAAUAAAUACCUUGGACUUCUAGAU